UGGGGAAUAUUGCGCAAUGGGGGAAACCCUGACGCAGCGACGCCGCGUGUGGGAUGAAGGUCUUCGGAUUGUAAACCACUGUCGCGAGGGACGAAGCUCUGACGGUACCUCGAAAGGAAGCACCGGCUAACUCUGUGCCAGCAGCCGCGGUAAUACAGAGGGUGCGAGCGUUGUCCGGAAUCACUGGGCGUAAAGGGCGCGUAGGCGGCCCGGUAAGUAGGGGGUGAAACGCUGCGGCUCAACCGCAGCACUGCCUUCGAGACUGCUGGGCUUGAGCACGGUAGAGGCUGGUGGAAUUCCCGGUGUAGCGGUGGAAUGCGUAGAGAUCGGGAAGAACAUCGGUGGCGAAGGCGGCCAGCUGGGCCGUUGCUGACGCUGAGGCGCGACAGCGUGGGGAGCAAACAGGAUUAGAUACCCCCGUAGUCCCUGAGCGGGCUGGCAAGGCGCAU
RNAcentral lists this ribosomal RNA (449 nucleotides) under uncultured bacterium. RNAcentral describes it as "bacterial SSU rRNA". It matches the Rfam family "Bacterial small subunit ribosomal RNA", at positions 355 to 825 of the family's 1533-position model. The record is from RNAcentral.